Molecule: ribosomal RNA, 253 nt
Filed under: uncultured bacterium
Lineage: Bacteria
Description: partial 16S ribosomal RNA
Rfam family: Bacterial small subunit ribosomal RNA
Source: RNAcentral
UACGUAGGGGGCAAGCGUUGUCCGGAUUUAUUGGGCGUAAAGAGCGUGUAGGCGGCCAUACAGGUCAGCUGUGAAAACUCGAGGCUCAACCUCGAGACGUCGGUUGAAACCGUAUGGCUAGAGUCCGGAAGAGGAGAGUGGAAUUCCCGGUGUAGCGGUGAAAUGCGCAGAUAUCGGGAAGAACACCCGUGGCGAAGGCGGCUCUCUGGGACGGUACUGACGCUGAGACGUGAAAGCGUGGGGAGCGAACAGG